RNAcentral lists this ribosomal RNA (537 nucleotides) under Ogataea siamensis. Its description in RNAcentral is "partial large subunit ribosomal RNA". It matches the Rfam family "Eukaryotic large subunit ribosomal RNA", at positions 78 to 636 of the family's 3401-position model. The record is from RNAcentral. Lineage: Eukaryota; Fungi; Ascomycota; Pichiomycetes; Pichiales; Pichiaceae.
CCUUAGUAGCGGCGAGUGAAGCGGCAAGAGCUCAAAUUUGAAAUCUGGUACCUUCGGUGCCCGAGUUGUAAUUUGAAGAAAGUAAUCUUGGAGGUGGCCUUUGUCUAUGUUCCUUGGAACAGGACGUCACAGAGGGUGAGAAUCCCGUGCGAUGAGGUGUCCAUUUCCGUGUAAGAUGCUUUCGAAGAGUCGAGUUGUUUGGGAAUGCAGCUCAAAGUGGGUGGUAAAUUCCAUCUAAAGCUAAAUAUUGGCGAGAGACCGAUAGCGAACAAGUACUGUGAAGGAAAGAUGAAAAGAACUUUGAAAAGAGAGUGAAAAAGUACGUGAAAUUGUUGAAAGGGAAGGGUAUUUGAUCAGACUUGGUAUUUAGUUAUCAUUGCUCCUUGUGGGUGGUGCUCUAACUUUUUACUGGGCCAGCAUCAGUUUUGGUGGUAAGAUAAUGACAGUUGAAUGUGGCUCCUCGGAGUGUUAUAGCUUCUGUUGAUGUUGCCUACCGGGACUGAGGUCUGCGGCUUUGCCUAGGAUGCUGGCGUAAUG